UACGUAGGGGGCAAGCGUUGUCCGGAAUUAUUGGGCGUAAAGGGUGCGUAGGCGGCCUUUCAAGUUGGAUGUGAAAUCCCCGUGCUUAACAUGGGAAUUGCAUUCAAAACUGGAGGGCUUGAGUGUGGAAGAGGUAAGUGGAAUUCCCAGUGUAGCGGUGAAAUGCGUAGAUAUUGGGAGGAACACCAGUGGCGAAGGCGACUUACUGGGCCACAACUGACGCUGAGGCACGAAAGCGUGGGGAGCAAACAGGAUUAGAUACCCUGGUAGUCCCUGA
RNAcentral lists this ribosomal RNA (277 nucleotides) under uncultured prokaryote. RNAcentral's name for it is "partial 16S ribosomal RNA". It matches the Rfam family "Bacterial small subunit ribosomal RNA", at positions 524 to 800 of the family's 1533-position model. The record is from RNAcentral.